RNAcentral lists this long non-coding RNA (201 nucleotides) under Homo sapiens (human). RNAcentral describes it as "HSALNT0024690". The record is from RNAcentral. Lineage: Eukaryota; Metazoa; Chordata; Mammalia; Primates; Hominidae.
AAAUGUGUAUGAAUGACAGCUGGACAUACCUCAAUCUAGCAUGAAGCACCCAGGACUUCACUGCUCCCUUCGGGAGCACCAUCUGCUCAGGUGCUUCCCUGUUGACUCCUCAUGAUGAGAACGUUGCCCCUGGAUUCUACUUCAGGACCACAUAAGGCCUUCACAACCUUGCACACUUUGGUGCUCCAUGUGCUUCUGAGC